UGGGAAAUUCGAAUAAUAUAU
Molecule: non-coding RNA, 21 nt
Filed under: Caenorhabditis elegans
Lineage: Eukaryota; Metazoa; Nematoda; Chromadorea; Rhabditida; Rhabditidae
Source: RNAcentral